RNAcentral lists this long non-coding RNA (208 nucleotides) under Elaeis guineensis (African oil palm). RNAcentral's name for it is "long non-coding RNA (EGUI_LNC017285)". The record is from RNAcentral. Lineage: Eukaryota; Viridiplantae; Streptophyta; Magnoliopsida; Arecales; Arecaceae.
CAUUCUAAAGUAAAUGAUUAAAUCCUCUAAAUUAUUAGAUCCUUAAAAUGAAUAAGUUAUGGGGAUAAUAAAUUCAUAGCCUUCCAUUAAGAUGGAUGAUAAUGGGUCUAAUAGUCUCUAUAAAUAUUGGAGGUGCCUUACGUCUGGUGUUUAUUUAGAUAUUAGAAUUAUCAUUCAUUAUAUGAUGACUUUAUUGUACUAUCUGAUG